This 205-nucleotide long non-coding RNA is filed under the name Mytilus galloprovincialis (Mediterranean mussel). Lineage: Eukaryota; Metazoa; Mollusca; Bivalvia; Mytilida; Mytilidae. The record is from RNAcentral.
AAUUAAGUAAAUUAGAAAACCAUUCAGUUGUACAACGUCAUCACUAGCAUUUACGGACAUAUCUUCUAUAAUAUCAUUGAUGAAGAACAAAAAUAAUAAGGGAGACAAUGGGUCCCCUUGUUUCACUCCAAGUAAAUUGUUAAUUGCGUCCGAAAGUAAACCACCAGAUCUAACUCGUAGCUGGACAGACGAAUAAAUAGAUUUG